UCCCUGAUGGUCCAGUGGUGAGACUCUGCACUCUCAAUGCAGGGGCUCUGGGUUCAAUCCCUGGUUGGGGAA
This is a non-coding RNA of Dama dama (fallow deer), 72 nucleotides long. Lineage: Eukaryota; Metazoa; Chordata; Mammalia; Artiodactyla; Cervidae. The record is from the annotation of a RefSeq genome assembly.